Molecule: ribosomal RNA, 460 nt
Filed under: uncultured bacterium
Lineage: Bacteria
Description: partial 16S ribosomal RNA
Rfam family: Bacterial small subunit ribosomal RNA
Source: RNAcentral
CCUACGGGCGGCAGCAGUGAGGAAUAUUGGUCAAUGGACGAGAGUCUGAACCAGCCAAGUAGCGUGAAGGAUGACUGCCCUAUGGGUUGUAAACUUCUUUUAUAUGGGAAUAAAAUGUUCCACGUGUGGGAUUUUGUAUGUACCAUAUGAAUAAGGAUCGGCUAACUCCGUGCCAGCAGCCGCGGUAAUACGGAGGAUCCGAGCGUUAUCUGGAUUUAUUGGGUUUAAAGGGAGCGUAGGUGGAUUGUUAAGUCAGUUGUGAAAGUUUGUGGCUCAACCGUAAAAUUGCAGUUGAAACUGGCAGUCUUGAGUACAGUAGAGGUGGGCGGAAUUCGUGGUGUAGCGGUGAAAUGCGUAGAUAUCACGAAGAACUCCAAUGGCGAAGGCAGUUCACUGGACUGCAACUGACACUGAGGCUCGAAAGUGUGGGUAUCAAACAGGAUUAGAUACCCCGGUAGUC